Molecule: ribosomal RNA, 247 nt
Filed under: uncultured bacterium
Lineage: Bacteria
Description: partial 16S ribosomal RNA
Rfam family: Bacterial small subunit ribosomal RNA
Source: RNAcentral
GAUCCUGGCUCAGGACGAACGCUGGCGGCGCGCCUAACACAUGCAAGUCGAACGAGAGAGAAGGAGCUUGCUUCUUCGAUCGAGUGGCGAACGGGUGAGUAACGCGUGAGGAACCUGCCUCAAAGAGGGGGACAACAGUUGGAAACGACUGCUAAUACCGCAUAAGCCCACGGGUCGGCAUCGACCCGAGGGAAAAGGAGCAAUCCGCUUUGAGAUGGCCUCGCGUCCGAUUAGCUAGUUGGUGAGG